This 484-nucleotide ribosomal RNA is filed under the name uncultured bacterium. Its description in RNAcentral is "partial 16S ribosomal RNA". It matches the Rfam family "Bacterial small subunit ribosomal RNA", at positions 30 to 507 of the family's 1533-position model. The record is from RNAcentral.
AUUGAACGCUGGCGGCAGGCCUAACACAUGCAAGUCGAGCGGAUGAAGGGAGCUUGUUCCUGGAUUCAGCGGCGGACGGGUGGGUAAUGCCUAGGAAUCUGCCUGGUAGUGGGGGCUAACGUCCGGAAACGGGCGCUAAUACCGCAUACGUCCUGAGGGUGAAAGUGGGGGAUCUUCGGACCUCACGCUAUCAGAUGAGCCUAGGUCGGAUUAGCUAGUUGGUGGGGUAAAGGCCUACCAAGGCGACGAUCCGUAACUGGGCUGAGAGGAUGAUCAGUCACACUGGAACUGAGACACGGUCCAGACUCCUACGGGAGGCAGCAGUGGGGAAUAUUGGACAAUGGGCGAAAGCCUGAUGCAGCCAUGCCGCGUGUGUGAAGAAGGUCUUCGGAUUGUAAAGCACUGUAAGUUGGGAGGAAGGGCAGUAAGUUAAUACCUUGCUGUUUUGACGUUACCAACAGAAUAAGCACCGGCUAACUACGUG